GACGAACGCUGGCGGCGUGCUUAACACAUGCAAGUCGAACGGGAAGGCCCUGCUUUUGUGGGGUGCUCGAGUAGCGAACGGGUGAGUAACACGUGAGUAACCUGCCCUUGACUUUGGGAUAACUUCAGGAGACUGGGGCUCAUACCGGAUAGGAGCUCCUGCUGCAUGGUGGGGGUUGGAAAGUUUGGGCGGUUGGGGAUGGACUCGCGGCUUAUCAGCUUGUUGGUGGGGUAGUGGCUUACCAAGGCUUUGACGGGUAGCCUGCAUGAGAGGGUGACCGGCCACAUUGGGACUGAGAUACGGCCCAGACUCCUACGGGAGGCAGCAGUGGGGAAUAUUGCACAAUGGGCGGAAGCCUGAUGCAGCAACGCCGCGUGCGGGAUGACGGCCUUCGGGUUGUAAACCGCUUUCGCCUGUGACGAAGCGUGAGUGACGGUAAUGGGUAAAGAAGCACCGGCUAACUACGUG
Molecule: ribosomal RNA, 468 nt
Filed under: uncultured bacterium
Lineage: Bacteria
Description: partial 16S ribosomal RNA
Rfam family: Bacterial small subunit ribosomal RNA
Source: RNAcentral